This 335-nucleotide ribosomal RNA is filed under the name Entomophaga aulicae. RNAcentral describes it as "SSU rRNA". It matches the Rfam family "Bacterial small subunit ribosomal RNA", at positions 367 to 779 of the family's 1533-position model. Lineage: Eukaryota; Fungi; Entomophthoromycota; Entomophthoromycetes; Entomophthorales; Entomophthoraceae. The record is from RNAcentral.
GGCAAUGGGCAAGUCGCCUGAUCCAGCCAUAUAGGAGGAGAGCCCCCCAUGGGUAAAACUUUCUCAAGUCAAGUAAAAGAAGGAUACUGCUUGGACAAGUAAUUCUGACAAAACUCGUGCCAGCAGUCGCGGUAAGGCGAGUAGGAUAAGCGUAAUUCAUAAUAACUAGGUGUAAAGGGUUAGUAGGCAGUCCAAAGGGCUAGAGUGGGAGGAAGGUAAGGGGAACUAAGAUAACAGGGAUAGAAUCUAAUGAAAAUAUUAUGACCACCCAGCCAAGGCAUCUUACCGAUCUACACUGACGCUAAGGGACUAAAGUGCGGGUAGCGAAAAAGAUU